AAUAAAUUGCCGGAUUCAAGGGUUACUUUGAUAGAGUAAAUUAUAUAAUUUUUUUUAAUUA
RNAcentral lists this transfer RNA (61 nucleotides) under Trichosia splendens. RNAcentral's name for it is "tRNA-Ile". The record is from RNAcentral. Lineage: Eukaryota; Metazoa; Arthropoda; Insecta; Diptera; Sciaridae.